RNAcentral lists this ribosomal RNA (301 nucleotides) under uncultured bacterium. RNAcentral describes it as "partial 16S ribosomal RNA". It matches the Rfam family "Bacterial small subunit ribosomal RNA", at positions 509 to 807 of the family's 1533-position model. The record is from RNAcentral.
CAGUCGCCGCGGGAAUACGAAGGGUGCAAGCGUUACUCGGAAUUACUGGGCGUAAAGCGUGCGUAGGUGGUGGUUUAAGUCCGUUGUGAAAGCCCUGGGCUCAACCUGGGAAUUGCAGUGGAUACUGGGCAACUAGAGUAAGGUAGAGGAUAGUGGAAUUUCCGGUGUAGCAGUGAAAUGCGUAGAGAUCGGAAGGAACAUCUGUGGCGAAGGCGACUAUCUGGGCCAUUACUGACACUGAGGCACGAAAGCGUGGGGAGCAAACAGGAUUAGAUACCCCGGUAGUCCCUGUCUCUUAUAC